GCAGCCAUUAAAAUCCUCGGUUACCGUUCAAUAAUAUUGACAAAUUUGGCUCUUUUGAGGGUGUUUAACUAUUAAUAACAACAGUCUUCACCUGAUAUAUCACCCAUGAGAAGGCGAACAAUUUGCAUCAAUGAUAUUAAGUUACAAGGAUCUGCAGAAAUGCGUCAAUGUGAGAAGCGUAACAUGUGCUAGCCAGUUCCGCAUCGAAGCGAAAGGCCUGUUAGUUCAUUUCAGAACAAUAUAAGAUGUCAUCAGUAGGCCUGGACAACAAGUGAAGUUUACUACUCAUCUAGUGUCAAAAACAUUGUAGUCACGACUUUGACACUAGUUACGACUAUUUUAAACUCCUAAGAUACAUUGCGGCAAGUUGUUUGCCGCAGGCCCAAU
Asterias rubens (European starfish) is the source of this 387-nucleotide long non-coding RNA. RefSeq lists it as uncharacterized. The record is from RefSeq and is a predicted model, not a curated record. Lineage: Eukaryota; Metazoa; Echinodermata; Asteroidea; Forcipulatida; Asteriidae. The transcript has 2 exons.